GAAGCAGGGUGGCGGCCUGCAGGGCGAGGGAUUCUUCAAGGCCCACUCCGCCCGUCUAGGAGGGGAGGCACCCUGCACGGCUGUCCCAGGUGAACAGCUUGUAUCUUGUCCAGGGGCCUAGAAGACAGUUCCCAGGAGGCCGAGGACGAGGCAUCGGGGCUGGGGCUAUCUGAGCAGCUCACAUCUGGGCCGGGGCUGCUGGGGAUGCCGGAGCAGCAGGAGCUGCAGGAGCCGCCCGAGGCGAAGCGUGGAAGCAGCUGUCAGAAGGGGAACGGAUCUGUGUGCCCACAGCUCCUGGAGCCCCACAGGAGCACGUGAAUUGCCUCUACUUACGUUCAGGCCCUGUCCUAAACCCAGCCGUCCAGCACCCAGUGAUCCCAUGCCUUUGGGAAUCCCAGGAUGCUGCCCAACGGGAAAUUUAUACAUUGGGUGCUAUCAAUGCCACAUCACAGGGACCAGCCAUGACAGAGCAAAGUGACCUCCACGUCUGAUGCUGGGGUCAUCAGGACGGACCCAUCAUGGCUGUCUUUUUGCCCCACCCCCUGCCGUCAGUUCUUCCUUUCUCUGUGGCUGGCUUCCCACACUAGGGAACGGGUUGUAAAUGGGGAACAUGACUUCCUUCCGGAGUCCUUGAGCACCUCAGCUAAGGACCGCAGUGCCCUGUAGAGUUCCUAGAUUACCUCACUGGGAAUAGCAUUGUGUGUCUCCAGAAAAGGGCUCCAUUUGGUUCCACCCCACUCCCCUCUGCAAGUGCCGCAGCUUCCCUCAGAGCAUACUCUCCAGUGGAUCCAAGUACUCUCUCUCCUAAAGACACCACCUUCCUGCCAGCUGUUUGCCCUUAGGCCAGUACACAGAAUUAAAGUGGGGGAGAUGGCAGACACUUUCUGGGACCUGCCCAAGAUAUGUAUUCUCUGACACUCUUAUUUGGUCAUAAAACAAUAAAUGGUGUCAAUUUCAAACGUG
Molecule: long non-coding RNA, 963 nt
Filed under: Pan troglodytes (chimpanzee)
Lineage: Eukaryota; Metazoa; Chordata; Mammalia; Primates; Hominidae
Description: long non-coding RNA NONPTRT007026
Source: RNAcentral